GCUUGUUUGUGCAAAUAGCCUGGGAUCAGGCUGUGAUUCCUGGAGCCUUUUUCUCCUUGCGGAGGUGGGGGGACGAGAGCGAACUCUGUGACAUCUCGGGGAGGCAGCAGGUUCCUGUGGCCCCUAUGCCGGGGGGAAGGACCGAGAGGCAGCAGGGAGAGGAUGUGAAGCAGGACCUGGCGAAGAAAGGGGGGGGCCCUACCGAUCCCCCCCACUCAAGAGGCUCAGAUGUGUGAAACAAAUCCCAAACCCUCUGUUAUGAAUUUUUUUUUUGGCACGCGCAGGAGGAAGUGAUGGAGUUGCUCCUUUCUGGAGAGCGGCUGCCAACCCCGAUGCAGCCCCCUGCGGCCCCCCAGCCCCUUUGCCAGCGUUUGUUCCUAGCAGAAGGGCUGUUUGUGUGUUGUGUGGGCUCCUGUUUUUUGUUUUAAGUGUGGCUACAAUCAUCUGCUGAGAGGCUCACUACUCCGGCUCGUUCCCUGCCAAUUUCCCUGAGAGCUGGCACUACAGGCGCUCCGGAGGCAACGAAGAGAGGCUGGGGAGGAUAGAUCGUGAAGGGAAAAAAAUGGACACAUGCCAUCGACGGAGCGGCGAGGUGCCAGAAUGCCAGCAGGCAGCAUGGGGCCAAAAAAAAAAAAAAAACGCCACACGGAGCGGAAAAGAAGCUGGCAGCCCCUCUCGAAGCAGGCGCUGGCUGAGUUGGCAGAGGUGCCAUGGAGGACGGGCUGCAGAGAGCAGGCAAUGCGGGAGAGAGAGAGAAAAACAGACAGACAAAUUGGCAGAGGCAGGACAGGUAGCAGACGGCGAAUGGGGAGAGGAAAAAGGCUUUCCUCCCACCCCAGGCCUACGCCAGGGUCAAGAGCAGUUGGGCCCCAGAUCUGGUCCAGUCCAAACACCAGGGGGAGAGUCAUCUCCGUCACACCAGCCUGUCUUCUGCACUGACCCCCAGCCUCGCCUCAGCUAGCAUCUGGAUCACACCGCGCCUCCGCUCCUUGCAUUCCUGUCCUGGGCUCUACCAAUCGCAAAGGAGCAUCCCAGUGCAUAGAGAAAAUACCUGCAGCGUCCAGCUUUGAAGAGAUGCAGCCCGCAGCCUGGCCCCAAAGGGAUCCCUGUUCAUCGCUGGCUCUCACUGGGUCCAUCACACUGAGGAUUCCAUUUCUCCCGCCGAGAGAGUACAGCGCUCUGCUUGUAGGAUAGCCACGCAGCAGUCCGGUGGGAGCCUCCGCCCUCCUCCCCGUGCGCCCACUCCCACUGCGCACACUGAACUGCAUCAGCAUCCGCUGGCGUUGGGAGCUCGCAAACACUGCCCUGGAGAGGCCAGGCCAGGCGCCGUCCCCUCCUCGUAGGGAUAUUCCUGGAUUUCGGCUCUCCCACUGGGAGGUGUAGGAGGAACCUCCGAGGCCCCGGCAGAGGAUGUCUUACAACAGCCAGUCGGCAGUGCGCAGUGUCUCUCUCCGCACAUCGCCAGCUGGGUGCAACGGUGCACACGUGGUGAGCACACGGCACCGGGCCAGGGAGUUAGCAGUGUGCUGGGAGAAGGGCGGGUUAUGGCUUGCAGGGAUACACCCAUCGUUGCUCAGCUAUUGCCCGGGACACUUCAGACAGCCUGCUGGGAUGUGGGAAUGAGCAUGAAGGCCUCCUGGAAUUUCACAAACGGCUCCUUUGGCAGCGGGUCAUGGCUCAGGCCGGCACAGGCAACUGGUGAGAAUAAGUCAGGGCGCAUCCAGGGAAGGGGAAAGCAACGGUGAUUCGUUAUUUAUACGGCACCAUACGUAUACACGGAGCUUUACAAAACCCCGACACCACAAGGGCCUGCCCGCAAGGCACUCACAGUCGGACUGACAGCACGCCGGGCGGGGAUGGCCAGCCAUGAGGAGAAGUGGGCUCACAGCUGGGAUCUGAAAGGAGGGUCACAGAACCCGGGACGAUCACCAUCCUUUGUUAUUUGCAUCUCAGUAAUGUCUGGAGACCCCAAACUGAGAUUGUGGCCCCAUCGUGCUAGGGGCUGCACAGCAAGUCUCAGUUCCAGUCCCGGUCUCUAAGAGCUUACAUAAGACAGAUAAAGGAGAGGGGACACUGAGGCACAGAGCACCCUAGGUGACACAGCAGGCCAGUGGCAGAGAACCCACAUCUCCUGAGCCCCAGUCCAGAGCCCUAUCCACUAGACCACGCUGCCUCCCACAGACUCAACUCCGAUUCCUGAGCCAUGCAUACAAAGAGCUGCUCCCACCUCCACCCCAUGUUGCCAGAUCCAAUUCCACCGUCCACAGCACUGCGGUGGCCAUGCAGAUACCCCUGUGCUUUCAGUUCUCAGCCCUCUGCUGCACCCCCACAUCAGCCCCGGCUCUGAGACAUGUCAGACAGAGCAGGGCUCCUCCAAACACAGCAGUAGCCAGGACAGACAGACCGACAGACACCCCAAAUCUAUGCCCAAAUCAAGUGACCUCCCGGGCUUUCGUUCGCUAUCGCAUCCAUUUCCAUGGAAACGCUUUCCAUGGGCUUACGGCGCCCUGCCAACCUUGGCUAAUCUUCCAAAGCCCAAACACGGGGUUAGGGGCUUUUUUGAACAAUGUGUUUUUAUUUUUGGAGAGGAAGGUGAGAGAGAGCGAAACAGAGAGUGUGUGUUGCGGGGGGCAGGGGAGCGCGGGAUUUACUUUCCUUCCCUCUAAACCCCACGGAGCAAAGGUAUGUGUGCAGGAGCUGGCGGUCACUGUCGGGUUACAUCUGCUGGGGCAUGCAAGAGCGAUUCCAGAUGCACUAGAAGUGCCGUG
This is a non-coding RNA of Chrysemys picta bellii (western painted turtle), 2768 nucleotides long. The record is from RefSeq and is a predicted model, not a curated record. NCBI's taxonomy places the organism in Eukaryota, Metazoa, Chordata, Testudines, Emydidae.